RNAcentral lists this ribosomal RNA (2477 nucleotides) under human gut metagenome. RNAcentral's name for it is "bacterial LSU rRNA". It matches the Rfam family "Bacterial large subunit ribosomal RNA", at positions 1 to 2556 of the family's 2925-position model. The record is from RNAcentral.
UGAAGUAAGUAAGGGCGUACGGUGAAUGCCUUGGUGCCAACAGGCGAAGAAGGACGCGGCAAGCUGCGAAAAGCCUCGGGAAGCUGCAAGCAAGCGAUGAUCCGGGGAUAUCCGAAUGGGGUAACCUGAUCGAGGCAAUACUCGAUCGUUCAUACCUGAAUACAUAGGGUAUGAAACGCGAAACCCGCUGAAGUGAAACAUCUCAGUAAGCGGAGGAAAAGAAAGAGAAAUCGAUUCCGUAAGUAGUGGCGAGCGAAAGCGGAUGGAGCCCAAACCGAAGGUAUUCCUUCGGGGUUGUAGGACCACGUCAUAUUCGACCAUACUGGAUAGUAGAACAGCCUGGAAAGGCUGGCCGGAGAAGGUGAAAGCCCUGUAGACGAAAUCCAGAGUGGGAAUUAGUGGUAUCCUGAGUAAUACAUCACACGUGGAACGAUGUAUGAACCCGCGCGGACCACCGCGCAAGGCUAAAUACUAGUUGGCGACCGAUAGUGAACAAGUACCGCGAGGGAAAGGUGAAAAGAACCGCUGUGAGCGGAGUGAAAUAGAACCUGAAACCGUAUGUCUACAAAGUGUCAGAGCAGAGCAAUCUGCGAUGGCGUGCCUUUUGUUUAAUGAGUCUGCGAGUCAGUGUUUGUGGCAAGACUAAGGGCUUCCGGCCCGGAGUCGCAGCGAAAGCAAGUCCGAACAGGGCGCAAUAAGUCGCAGGUACUGGACCCGAAGCGGAGGUGACCUACCCUUGGCCAGGUUGAAGCAUGGGUAAAACCAUGUGGAGGACCGAACAGGUGAACGUUGAAAAGUUCUCUGAUGAGCUGAGGGUAGGAGUGAAAGGCUAAUCAAACCCCGUGAUAGCUGGUUCUCUUCGAAAUGCAUUUAGGUGCAGCGUCACGUGCUGAUGCGCGGGGGUAGAGCACUGACAAGGCUAGGGGGCACACCCGCUUACCAAACCUUAUCAAACUCCGAAUACCGUGCAAUGGAACGUGGCAGUGAGACAGUGGGGGAUAAGCUUCAUUGUCGAGAGGGAAACAACCCAGACCAGCAGCUAAGGUGCCUAAAUAACGCUCAGUGGAAAGGAUGUGGGAUUACACAGACAGUGAGGAUGUUGGCUUAGAAGCAGCCACCAUUUAAAAAAUGCGUAAUAGCUUACUCAUCGAGUGAUCCUGCGCCGAAAAUGAUUGGCGAUCAAGCGUUAUACCGAAGCUCUGGACUUUGCCGCAAGGCAGAGUGGUAGAAGAGCGUUGCAUGCGCGUCGAAGGGCGAUGGCGACUGACCCUGGAGCACAUGCAAGUGAGUAUGCAGACAUGAGUAACGUUAAGCCGGGUGAAAUCCCCGGCCGCCGUAAACCCGAGGUUUCCAGGGCAACGUGUUUCGUCCCUGGGUUAGCCGGGACCUAAGCCGAGGCCGAGAGGCGUAGGCGAUGGACAUCAGGUUAAUAAUCCUGAGCUCGCAACCCUUAAACUGGGGGGACGCAUGAGAAAAGAUGACUAGGUUAUUGAAUUCCGAGUUGAGUCUACGGACUCAGCGCAUCAUUGGAUCGAGUGCCAAGAAAAGCCCCAGCGUAUGCUAAGCGACCCGUACCGCAAACCGACACAGGUGGGUGGGUAGAAUAUACCAAGGCGUAAGAGUGAAACCUGGUUAAGGAACUCGGCAAAUUAGCCCCGUAACUUCGGAAGAAGGGGUGCCUGCAGCGAUGCAGGCCGCAGAGAAAUGGCCCAACCGACUGUUUAUCAAAAACACAGCACUCUGCAAAGACGCAAGUCGAAGUAUAGGGUGUGACACGUGACCAAUGCCGAAAGAUUAAGGCAAGGGGUUAGCCGCAAGGCGAAGCUCUAAACCCAAGUCCCGGUGAAUGUCGGCCGUAACUAUAACGGUCCUAAGGUAGCGAAAUUCCUUGUCGGGUAAGUUCCGACCUGCACGAAUCGUGAAACGAGUUGGGCACUGUCUCAACCAGGCGCUCAGUGAAAUUGUAGUGGCGGUGAAGAUGCCGCCUACCCGCAGAAGGACGGAAAGACCCUAUAGACCUUAACUGUAAGCUGUCAUUGUUUCUUCGGUUUUAAUGCUCAGAGUAAGUGGGAGACGCUGAAGACGCCCUUUAGGGGGCGUCCGAGUCAUCAAUGAGACACCACCCUUUGAAACUGGAGGAUCUAACCCUGAGCCGUGAAUCCGGCCAGAGGACCGUGUCAGCCGGUCAGUUUUACUGGGGCGGUAUCCUCCCAAAGAGUAACGGAGGAGCGCGAAGGUGGGCUCAGCCCGGUUGGCAACCGGGUGUCGAGUGCAUGGGCAUAAGCCCGCCUAACUGUGAGACCAACAAGUCGAGCAGAUGCGAAAGCAGGCCCAAGUGAUCCGGCGGUAGAAAGUGGAAUUGCCGUCGCUCAACGGAUAAAAGGUACCUUAGGGAUAACAGGCUGAUCACGCCCAAGAGUUCAUAUCGACGGCGUGGUUUGGCACCUCGAUGUCGGCUCGUCGCAUCCUGGGGCUGG